Molecule: long non-coding RNA, 1277 nt
Filed under: Heterocephalus glaber (naked mole-rat)
Lineage: Eukaryota; Metazoa; Chordata; Mammalia; Rodentia; Bathyergidae
Description: lncRNA (ENSHGLG00000048994.1)
Source: RNAcentral
GACCUGGAAGGGUUUAUGUCCCUUCUGGCUCCUCCCUUCACGCAGUCUGCUUCCUGUCCACCAUACCUUGAUUGUUCACUACUUCUCCUUGUUUAGAAUACACUGAGUUAGUUUUCUGUUCUCUUGGUGGAUCCCUUGGGGCUAGAAUGUUUCUAUGAAUGUUCUUAUCUGGGUCUCCUUGGGGACUUAAUGUUUUCUUUUCUCAUGGGUAAAUGCCUUGGAUUGGAAUUGCUGGGAUAUAAGGGUAAUCCGUAUCCUGGAUUCUGGGGGAUUAUUUAAAGCAGUGGUGGUGAGUGGAUGGCACAUGUGCCACAGCGGACACGCAGAGCCCUCUCUGUCGUAUGUUCUGUCUGGCGUUCACAGUGGACAACUGGGAGUUCACAGUGGAUAACUGCAUGAGGAUCCAUCUUUCAGGAUUCUCCUUCACCAUUUGGGUGCCACUUCCCACUCCAUGUCACCUAGACACCUGGUCACCCACCUAGAGAUGUCAUUUUCCAGGGAUUGAACUUGGGACCUUGUGCUUGCAAGGCAGGCGCCGGAACCACUGAGCCAAAUCCCCGGCCCAGGAACUGGUAUUUUAAACAAGCAUCCCAAAGGAUUCCGAUGCAGUGGUCCCUCGACAUUCACCUGGCUACUUUAUGUCUUGCUGAAGAUGCAAAACUUGCUCUGGCUGAAAUUCUCCUUUUAUCCUUUCUACCAGUAAGUGUCUCUUAGAGAAACUGGGACACUUUCACUAUGGCUCUUCCCUGCAUUCCUGGGGGUGAAGCAGCCACCACAGGAAGCAAAACAGCAAGAGAGAGGCUGAUUCAGCACAUACUGAGGCGCAGCCACAAGCCCAGGAGCUUCUUAGUGGCCUCCUGAUCUUAUCGAAGGACAUUGUCCUUUCCUGGAACCUCACUGCCUUCUGCAGUAUCUUUAUUUGUAUCGUAUCGUAAGGCUGUCCCACUCGCUUUGCACUGAGAAGUGUUGCUCUGAAACUAUUUACUGUGAAUAAACUUUCUUGGUAAUGCCACGUUUGUUCAGAACCUUGACCAACAAUAUGCUCUUGAUGGCUGUUCUCAUGGUCUCAGGGGAGGAGAUGGGUAGGAGGAGGAAGAGUGGCUUCUGCUGUGAUUUUUUUUUAAUAGUGGGAGAAUCCAAAUGGGAAAAUGGAUAAAUACAUUGUCUUCUAGCUAAAAGCUAGAAGUAAACUUUGAAGGUUGGAUUAACGAUUUCUUCAAGCAGAGAUUAAGUACUGUUCCAGUAAAUAUCACAUCCACCUAAGAAUUAGAUUUCAG